Molecule: ribosomal RNA, 497 nt
Filed under: uncultured bacterium
Lineage: Bacteria
Description: partial 16S ribosomal RNA
Rfam family: Bacterial small subunit ribosomal RNA
Source: RNAcentral
GAUGAACGCUGGCGGCGUGCCUAAUACAUGCAAGUCGAGCGAACAGACGAGGAGCUUGCUCCUCUGACGUUAGCGGCGGACGGGUGAGUAACACGUGGAUAACCUACCUAUAAGACUGGGAUAACUUCGGGAAACCGGAGCUAAUACCGGAUAAUAUAUUGACCCGCAUGGUUCAAUAGUGAAAGACGGUUUUGCUGUCACUUAUAGAUGGAUCCGCGGCGCAUUAGCUAGUUGGUAAGGUAACGGCUUACCAAGGCAACGAUGCGUAGCCGACCUGAGAGGGGGAUCGGCCACACUGGAACUGAGACACGGUCCAGACUCCUACGGGAGGCAGCAGUAGGGAAUCUUCCGCAAUGGGCGAAAGCCUGAUGGAGCAACGCCGCGUGAGUGAUGAAGGUCUUCGGAUCGUAAAACUCUGUUAUUAGUGAAGAACAAAUGUGUAAGUAACUAUGCACGUCUUGACGGUACCUAAUCAGAAAGCCACGGCUAACUACGUG